Molecule: ribosomal RNA, 440 nt
Filed under: uncultured bacterium
Lineage: Bacteria
Description: partial 16S ribosomal RNA
Rfam family: Bacterial small subunit ribosomal RNA
Source: RNAcentral
CCUACGGGAGGCAGCAGUGGGGAAUAUUGCACAAUGGGGGGAACCCUGAUGCAGCGACGCCGCGUGAGUGAAGAAGUCUUUCGGUAUGUAAAGCUCUAUCCGCAGGGAAGAAAAUGACGCUAUCUGACUGAGAUGCCCCGGCUAACUACGCGCCAGAACCCGCGGUCAUACGUAGGGGGCAAGCGUUAUCCGGAUUUACAGGGUGUAAAGGGAGCGUAGACGGCAGAGCAAGUCUGAAGUGAAAGCCCGGGGCCCAACUGCGGGACUGCUUUGGAAACUGCCCUGCUAGAGUGCUGGAGAGGUAAGCGGAAUUCCUAGUGUAGCGGUGAAAUGCGUAGAUAUUAGGAGGAACACCAGUGGCGAAGGCGGCUUACUGGACAGUAACUGACGUUGAGGCUCGAAAGCGUGGGGAGCAAACAGGAUUAGAUACCCGGGUAGUC